RNAcentral lists this unclassified non-coding RNA (392 nucleotides) under uncultured fungus. Its description in RNAcentral is "sequence contains ITS1". The stretch from base 1 to 101 matches the Rfam family "5.8S ribosomal RNA", at positions 50 to 154 of the family's 154-position model. Lineage: Eukaryota; Fungi. The record is from RNAcentral.
GAAAUGCGAUACGUAAUGCGAAUUGCAUCUCUUAGUGAGUCAUCAAAAUUUUGAACGCAACUGGCACUUCUGCUUGCAGGAGUAUGUCUGUUGGAGUGUCUGUUCAUUCCCACAAAGCCAAACCAAUUUUAUUAUUGGUUUUGUGCUUUUGAGACAACUGUUUCAAACUAUAUUAUGUAUGUUUGGAACAGGUUCAGAUGUGAUCCGUAACUAGCUCUCUUGUUUGGCAAGAAGCCUUUUUACACACUUUCAGCACGUCGCCUCUGCACUAGCAAUAGUACAUACGGCGUGACUUGAUAUGCGUAAAGCUUAAUAGGCAACUUAUCACCAGCAAGAGUAAAUUUUAUAUCAGUUCGGACCUCCAAUCAGGCAAGAUUACCCGCUGAAUUUAA